Molecule: transfer RNA, 72 nt
Filed under: Daphnia pulex (common water flea)
Lineage: Eukaryota; Metazoa; Arthropoda; Branchiopoda; Diplostraca; Daphniidae
Description: tRNA-Cys
Rfam family: tRNA
About the family: Transfer RNA (tRNA) molecules are approximately 80 nucleotides in length. Their secondary structure includes four short double-helical elements and three loops (D, anti-codon, and T loops).
Source: RNAcentral
GGGGGUAUAGCUCAAUGGUAGAGCAUCCGACUGCAGAUCGGAAUGUUCCCGGUUCAUACCCGGGUGCCCCCU